RNAcentral lists this ribosomal RNA (393 nucleotides) under uncultured Streptococcus sp. Its description in RNAcentral is "bacterial SSU rRNA". It matches the Rfam family "Bacterial small subunit ribosomal RNA", at positions 988 to 1382 of the family's 1533-position model. The record is from RNAcentral. Lineage: Bacteria; Bacillati; Bacillota; Bacilli; Lactobacillales; Streptococcaceae.
UCCGAUGUCUAUUUCUAGAGAUAGAAGUUACUUCGGUACAUCGGUGACAGGUGGUGCAUGGUUGUCGUCAGCUCGUGUCGUGAGAUGUUGGGUUAAGUCCCGCAACGAGCGCAACCCCUAUUGUUAGUUGCCAUCAUUCAGUUGGGCACUCUAGCGAGACUGCCGGUAAUAAACCGGAGGAAGGUGGGGAUGACGUCAAAUCAUCAUGCCCCUUAUGACCUGGGCUACACACGUGCUACAAUGGUUGGUACAACGAGUUGCGAGUCGGUGACGGCGAGCUAAUCUCUUAAAGCCAAUCUCAGUUCGGAUUGUAGGCUGCAACUCGCCUACAUGAAGUCGGAAUCGCUAGUAAUCGCGGAUCAGCACGCCGCGGUGAAUACGUUCCCGGGCCUU